AAACAAUCAGCUGAAUAAGGCCUUGGCUGCUCCUGUCCAAAUGCAGGAUAAAGUGCAAUUGGCUUGCCUGCGCGUGAGUGUUGCCCCCCUGGCUCCUUGCCAGCUUGGCUUGCAGCAGGUGGAGGAGUGGGAGCACGGCAUCGUCCGACAUCGACUCAACUAGCUGUGAAUCAAUGGGGCCAGAGCUGGUAGACGCCUCAUGGGCAGGCCCCUCUGCAGGCGGCUUGGUUGCUUGAGGCUGCUGAGGAGGUGGCGGAGCCGCACGCUCGAGCUG
Molecule: long non-coding RNA, 274 nt
Filed under: Dunaliella salina
Lineage: Eukaryota; Viridiplantae; Chlorophyta; Chlorophyceae; Chlamydomonadales; Dunaliellaceae
Description: long non-coding RNA (DSAL_LNC000159)
Source: RNAcentral